This 506-nucleotide ribosomal RNA is filed under the name uncultured Lachnospiraceae bacterium. RNAcentral describes it as "bacterial SSU rRNA". It matches the Rfam family "Bacterial small subunit ribosomal RNA", at positions 1 to 507 of the family's 1533-position model. The record is from RNAcentral. Lineage: Bacteria; Bacillati; Bacillota; Clostridia; Lachnospirales; Lachnospiraceae.
GUAGAGUUUUGUAGUCCUCGGGCUCAGGAUGAACGCUGGCGGCGUGCUUAACACAUGCAAGUCGAGCGAAGCACUCGGCCUUGAAUCUUCGGAGGAAAGGCGGUUUGACGUGAGCGGCGGACGGGUGAGUAACGCGUGGGCAACCUGCCCAUACGGGGGAGUAACAGUUAGAAAUGACUGCUAAUACCGCACUAAGACCGCGGUGCCGCAUGGCACAGCGGUAAAAACUCCGGUGGUAUGGGAUGGGCCCGCGUCUGAUUAGCUAGUUGCGGGGUAACGGCCCACCAAGGCGACGAUCAGUAGCCGACCUGAGAGGGCGACCGGCCACAUUGGGACUGAGACACGGCCCAAACUCCUACGGGAGGCAGCAGUGGGGAAUAUUGCACAAUGGGGGAAACCCUGAUGCAGCGACGCCGCGUGGGCGAUGAAGUAUUUCGGUAUGUAAAGCUCUAUCAGCAGGGAAGAAGAUGACGGUACCUGACUAAGAAGCCCCGGCUAACUACGUG